This 161-nucleotide ribosomal RNA is filed under the name uncultured bacterium. RNAcentral describes it as "partial 16S ribosomal RNA". It matches the Rfam family "Bacterial small subunit ribosomal RNA", at positions 1339 to 1500 of the family's 1533-position model. The record is from RNAcentral.
UAAUGGCAGGUCAGCAUACUGCCGUGAAUACGUUCCCGGGCCUUGUACACACCGCCCGUCACACCAUGAGAGUUGGGAAUACCCGAAGCCUGUGAGCUAACUUAUAGAGGCAGCAGUCAAAGGUAGAAUCAAUGAUUGGGGUGAAGUCGUAACAAGGUAGC